CAGUAGCCACGGGAAUACAGAGGGUGCGAGCGUUAAUCGGAUUUACUGGGCGUAAAGCGUGCGUAGGCGGCUUUUUAAGUCGGAUGUGAAAUCCCUGAGCUUAACUUAGGAAUUGCAUUCGAUACUGGGAAGCUAGAGUAUGGGAGAGGAUGGUAGAAUUCCAGGUGUAGCGGUGAAAUGCGUAGAGAUCUGGAGGAAUACCGAUGGCGAAGGCAGCCAUCUGGCCUAAUACUGACGCUGAGGUACGAAAGCAUGGGGAGCAAACAGGAUUAGAUACCCGAGUAGUCCCUGUCUCUUAUAU
RNAcentral lists this ribosomal RNA (301 nucleotides) under uncultured bacterium. Its description in RNAcentral is "partial 16S ribosomal RNA". It matches the Rfam family "Bacterial small subunit ribosomal RNA", at positions 509 to 809 of the family's 1533-position model. The record is from RNAcentral.